GUUGCGGUGGCCGAGUGGUUAAGGCGUUGGACUAGAAAUCCAAUGGGAUCUUCCCGCGCAGGUUCGAAUCCUGCUAGCAACG
This 82-nucleotide transfer RNA is filed under the name Nematostella vectensis (starlet sea anemone). It matches the Rfam family "tRNA". From Rfam's summary of the family: Transfer RNA (tRNA) molecules are approximately 80 nucleotides in length. Their secondary structure includes four short double-helical elements and three loops (D, anti-codon, and T loops). The record is from Rfam by way of RNAcentral. Lineage: Eukaryota; Metazoa; Cnidaria; Anthozoa; Actiniaria; Edwardsiidae.